AUGCAACAGGCAUGUUUAGCACAUCUCAACCACAUAAAAUGUAUCCUUAAGUAUAUCAAAGGGACUCUCGAUCAUGGUCUCUCCAUUACUCCCUCUGAUCCUACCUCACUCACCGCGUACUCUGAUGCGGACUGGGUAGGAUGUUCGGAUACUCGACGAUCUACUUCUGGUUACUGUGUGUAUUUGGGUGAUAAUCUGAUUUCUUGGUCUUCAAAAAGGCAGCUAACCGCUUCCAGGUCUUCAGCCGAAGCAGAGUACCGCUCUGUUGCUCACACUGAGACAGUAUGGCUUCGUCAACUCCUAGCUGAGCUACAUCGUCCCAUUCAACAAGCUACCAUAGUUUAUUGUGACAAUGUAUCAGCUGUGUAUCUGUCAUGUAAUCGUGUUUAG
Molecule: ribosomal RNA, 390 nt
Filed under: Triticum aestivum (bread wheat)
Lineage: Eukaryota; Viridiplantae; Streptophyta; Magnoliopsida; Poales; Poaceae
Description: partial small subunit ribosomal RNA
Source: RNAcentral